RNAcentral lists this unclassified non-coding RNA (325 nucleotides) under soil metagenome. Its description in RNAcentral is "partial contains 5.8S ribosomal RNA, internal transcribed spacer 2, and large subunit ribosomal RNA". The stretch from base 1 to 120 matches the Rfam family "5.8S ribosomal RNA", at positions 35 to 154 of the family's 154-position model. The record is from RNAcentral.
GAUGAAGAACGCAGCGAAAUGCGAUAAGUAAUGCGAAUUGCAGAAUUCAGUGAGUCAUCGAAUCUUUGAACGCACAUUGCGCCCUGUGGUAUUCCGCAGGGCAUGCCUGUUCGAGCGUCAUUUCAACCCUCAAGCCCCGCUUGGUGUUGGGCCCCGCCCGCCGUGGCCGGCCCUAAAGACAGUGGCGGCACCGCCUGGCCCUCAGCGUAGUACAGCUCUCGCUCCAGGGUCCGGCGGCCGCCUGCCAGAACCCCCCCAACUCUGUGGUUGACCUCGGAUCAGGUAGGGAUACCCGCUGAACUUAAGCAUAUCAAUAAGCGGAGGA